CCUCCCCCUUGCUGUUGCCACAUUAGGCAGGCAGCCGAAGCAGCCAGGACAGGGUGACGGGAGAGGGAUGGCAGAGCCUGGAAGAGGGCUUGAGAAGGGGCCCAGCGUCGCAGCUGACGGCACCGCUGCUGCCUCUCUUUGCUGCCACAUUGGAGCCACACAAACACCAGUGCUCGAAGAGCUUCUUUUUUGCCACCCGUGACUUCCGUCCAGAGAGAGGAAAAUGGUCUUAGGGUGGUGCAGGAUUCCUGGGUUGCAUUUAGUUCUGACUGGAACACAGAAGGAACACAGCCAAGGCAGGAGCGCUGGAGAAACACUGUUGGCCAAGAGGACAUUUUUCUUCGUUUGAGACAGGGUUUCUCUGUGCAGCCCUGUCUGACCUGAAACUCACUCUGUAGACCAGGCUGGCCUCACAGAGAUCAGCCUCUGCUGGGAUUAAAGGAGCUAGGCUGGCCUUGGAUUUAUUAUGCAGCUGAAGAUGGCCUUGAACUCCUGAUCUUUCUGCCUGUAGAUUCCUUAGACCCUCCCGGAUCCCUUACCCUGCCCUCUGACGCAUCACUAAAGAUGAAGUCUACCACAGAAAUGGCCCUUCCUCACAGGAUCCUGUUAUUGUAGUAAUACCUAGAGAGUUGAGAGUCGGCCUGUGAGGAAGGAAGAGCCUCGCAGUCUCCCCAUGAGUUACUGGAGAACACCCGCAGCCCUCCUACAGGGAGAGCAUUUCCCAAGCUCUGCAAUGGUGGGAGGCAGCCUGAGUGCCGGGAACCACAGCCCUUUCCUUGAACUCUGCCUCUCCUGCUGCUGGCCACCUCUCCUCACCUGAGGGCCCGGCUCAGCUUGUCAUAGUUCAUCUGU
Long non-coding RNA from Psammomys obesus (fat sand rat), 852 nucleotides. RefSeq lists it as uncharacterized. The record is from RefSeq and is a predicted model, not a curated record. Lineage: Eukaryota; Metazoa; Chordata; Mammalia; Rodentia; Muridae. The transcript has 5 exons.